UACAGAGGGGGCAAGCGUUGUUCGGAAUUACUGGGCGUAAAGGGCGCGUAGGCGGCCCUCUAAGUCGAACGUGAAAUCCCUGGGCUCAACCCAGGAACUGCGUCCGAGACUGGGGGGCUAGAAUCCGGGAGAGGGAUGUGGAAUUCCAGGUGUAGCGGUGAAAUGCGUAGAUAUCUGGAGGAACAUCGGUGGCGAAGGCGGCAUCCUGGACCGACAUUGACGCUGAUGAGCGAAAGCUAGGGGAGCAAACGGG
Molecule: ribosomal RNA, 253 nt
Filed under: uncultured bacterium
Lineage: Bacteria
Description: partial 16S ribosomal RNA
Rfam family: Bacterial small subunit ribosomal RNA
Source: RNAcentral